Vespa mandarinia (Asian giant hornet) is the source of this 1084-nucleotide long non-coding RNA. The record is from RefSeq and is a predicted model, not a curated record. Lineage: Eukaryota; Metazoa; Arthropoda; Insecta; Hymenoptera; Vespidae.
GUACUUUUUUAGUAGUUUAUUCGAGUCUUUUGUUAUAUUACAUAUUAAAGGCCUUCACACAAUCAUCAACAUAAGAUAUAAUACGUAAACCGUCAGGAAAUCCACCAAUCAGAAUUGACUAUUUCCCUCUACAUUUUCUGACGCAAGACAUAAACCGUAACGUUGAAAAAUUUCGUGAAGAUCUUUGCAGUGGCAUCGACAUAAGACGUAAACCGUAAGUCGUAGUACGUAAACGGUAUCGUAUACGAUUGUCAUAAGUUAUAAACUUUGACCAAUUACAGUUAUCGUCGAAGAAAUUGCGCGAAAAUAUAAUUCUUAAGUGUGCUGCCUGGUACUAUUUUCAUUUUUGUAUUGUGUUUAUGUUUUAUUAAAGCAUAAAACACAAUGCUUUUGAUAAUUUCAAUCUCAAUUUAUGAAUACACAAUAUUAUAGUCCGUGUAUUAUUCAUAUUCAUAAAAUUUCAAAUGUAGAGUUUAAUUGCGGGAAAGUAUGUGAUUGAUUGAACAUAAGACGUAAAUUGUAAAAAGUUCAUCCUUACGAAAUACCUCUACAAUUUAUAUCUUGUCUUGAAAAAUGUAAAGAGGAAUAAUUGACUCUGAUUGGUGAAUUUCCUCACGGCUUACGUUUUACAUUGGUACGUGUGUGAAAGGCCUUAAGGUCCUUAACAGCAAAUUCCAUCGAAGAAACGCUGAAUAAUAUAGAAAAAAAAAUAAAAUAAAAGAUGUGUGAAUAUUACACAUGAAUAAAGAAUGCUGUUAAUAAAAUACAUUAAUAAAUAUUCAAUUACAACAAUUAUUAAAUGGAAUACGAUUUCGAUGAACAAAGAUUCAUUUUAAAGAUAAAGGUUUAAACAAAGAGAUGAUCUUUUCUAAUUUUUGAAAAAGUUUUUUUUAUAAAAAAGAAAAAAAAUAGUGUCAAAUGAUGAUAUUUCUUUUCGACAAUAACUUUCUUUUCAAUUUCAAAGGGCAUAAAUUUUGAAAUCGGUGUUAUUACAUCAUAAAGUCAAUAAAAUUGGUUUUUUGAUUGAUUUUGAUAGUUCAAUAUUUCAAUGUACUCACAUGGCUGUUUCAUUCGGGAUACACGA